Molecule: ribosomal RNA, 468 nt
Filed under: uncultured bacterium
Lineage: Bacteria
Description: partial 16S ribosomal RNA
Rfam family: Bacterial small subunit ribosomal RNA
Source: RNAcentral
GACGAACGCUGGCGGCGUGCUUAACACAUGCAAGUCGAACGGUAAGGCCCUGUUCUUGUGGGGUGCUCGAGAGGCGAACGGGGGAGUAACAUGUGAGUAAACUGCCCUUUACUCUGGGAUAACUUCAGGGAACUGGGGCUAAUAUCGUAUAGGAGCUCCUGCUGCACGGUGGGGGUUGGAAAGUUUCGGUUGUUGGGGAUGGACUCGCGGCUUAUCAGCCUGUUGGUGGGGUAGUGGCUUACCAAGGCUUUGACGGGUAGCCGGCCUGAGAGGGUGACCGGCCACAUUGGGACUGAGAUACGGCCCAGACUCCUACGGGAGGCAGCAGUGGGGAAUAUUGCACAAUGGGCGGAAGCCUGAUGCAGCGACGCCGCGUGCGGGAUGACGGCCUUCGGGUUGUAAACCGCUUUCGCCUGUGACGAAGCGUGAGUGACGGUAAUGGGUGAAGAAGCGCCGGCUAACUACGUG